Cyprinus carpio carpio is the source of this 657-nucleotide long non-coding RNA. NCBI's taxonomy places the organism in Eukaryota, Metazoa, Chordata, Actinopteri, Cypriniformes, Cyprinidae. The record is from Ensembl.
GUGAGUCGGUCAAGUUGCUUGCUUGAUUUUUGGGUCAAAUUAUUGACAUAGCCAAAAGUUUUGUUUGUACAUUUAAACUUUGAACAGUUUUUUUUUUUCUUCUUCUUUCUUCUAUUUUUGUUUCUUUUGAUACUUUUGGAUUUACACUGUAAAUAUAAUUUGCAUUAUUUUGGAAAAUCUUUGUUUUUCACAUUUUGGAAUAAACACCAAACCUUUUGACUUCAUCAGCACGUCACUUCAUUUUUUUUUUUUCACGCCUCCAUGGGCCGCUACAUCCAGAGCAGGGGUGCUGCUACUGCUUGAACACCUUGUAGCAGUUGGCACACCACUGUCUCUGUUACACGGCUAAUCAACCGGAAAUCUCGCCCUGAGGCUUAUUUCUACGUUGAAGAAAAAGGUGGAUAAGGUUGCCCGUGGGCAGCGCAAUACACGUGAUUUUGUUGACUAAGCUAAUAGAACUGGCAAAUGGAGAAACCUCGUUUUUAGUACACCGACCAGGUCCUCUUACCCUACCACUGUGACAUGGCCGCCGGUGGCACAUUGACGCCUGUAUCCAUCCCUGACGGAGCUAAGCCGGAUCAGUCGUGUCGUCGGCGCUCUCUCGCUCCUUCCUCCCGGAACAUAAUCACAGUCAGUCUGCAGCCUCAGAAAUCCCCC